UUGGAGGGCAAGUCUGGUGCCAGCAGCCGCGGUAAUUCCAGCUCCAAUAGCGUAUAUUAAAGUUGUUGCAGUUAAAAAGCUCGUAGUUGAAUUUCGGGGUUCUACCGUUGGUCGGGCUAUUGUCUGUACUGGCGUGUAGAAUUUCUACUUUCUGGGGAACUAUCAUGUUAUUAAUUUAGCGUGGUAGGAAACCAGAACCUUUACCUUGAAAAAAUUAGAGUGUUCAAAGCAGGCUUAUGUCUGAAUACAUUAGCAUGGAAUAAUAAAAUAGGACGGUGGUCCUGUUUUGUUGGUUUCUGAAUCACCGUAAUGAUUAAUAGGGAUAGUUGGGGGCAUUAGUAUUCAAUUGUCAGAGGUGAAAUUCUUGGAUUUAUUGAAGACUAACUACUGCGAAAGCAUUUGCCAAGGGUGUUUCCAUUAAUCAAGAACGAAAGUUAGGGGAUCGAAGACGAUCAGAUACCGUCGUAGUCUUAACCAUAAACUAUGCCGACUAGGGAUCGGACGAUGUUAACUUUUCUCGACUCGUUCGGCGCCUUACGGGAAAC
This 545-nucleotide ribosomal RNA is filed under the name uncultured Gigasporaceae. RNAcentral's name for it is "SSU rRNA". It matches the Rfam family "Eukaryotic small subunit ribosomal RNA", at positions 548 to 1098 of the family's 1831-position model. Lineage: Eukaryota; Fungi; Glomeromycota; Glomeromycetes; Diversisporales; Gigasporaceae. The record is from RNAcentral.